This 433-nucleotide ribosomal RNA is filed under the name uncultured bacterium. Its description in RNAcentral is "partial 16S ribosomal RNA". It matches the Rfam family "Bacterial small subunit ribosomal RNA", at positions 29 to 507 of the family's 1533-position model. The record is from RNAcentral.
AGCGAACGCUGGCGGCAGGCCUAACACAUGCAAGUCGAACGGAUCCUUCGGGAUUAGUGGCGGACGGGUGAGUAACACGUGGGAACGUGCCCUUUGGUUCGGAACAACUCAGGGAAACUUGAGCUAAUACCGGAUGUGCCCUUCGGGGGAAAGAUUUAUCGCCAUUGGAGCGGCCCGCGUCUGAUUAGCUAGUUGGUGAGGUAACGGCCCACCAAGGCGACGAUGAGUAGCUGGUCGGGGAGGAUGAUCAGCCACACUGGGACUGAGACACGGCCCAGACUCCUACGGGAGGCAGCAGUGGGGAAUCUUGCGCAAUGGGCGAAAGCCUGACGCAGCCAUGCCGCGUGAAUGAUGAAGGUCUUAGGAUUGUAAAAUUCUUUCAGCGGGGACGAUAAUGACGGUACCCGCAGAAGAAGCUCCGGCUAACUUCGUG